UGCUGUCUCCGAGAGCACUCCAUCACACGCUGAGGACAGUCAUUGCCUCACACAGCCGUCCAGGUCAGACGACCUCAAAGCCACCAGCUGCCACACCAUGCUAGAGACUGGAGGAUCAAUCUUGAACGGGCACAGAGAAGACUGACACUCAGAUGCAAGAUGCUGAACAGAUGAUUGGUGUCUGAAUUCCAAUAACCGCAGAGUACAUGUCUGUGUUCAUGUUUAGCACUUGGCAUCUCCAAUAAUUUGAAUCAACAGAGCUGCUAGUAGGAGUUACAUGGACUUCCUUUUACAGAUUUCCAUAAUGUUACCCCACAAAACUGACCACUGCGUGAAGUAUGAAAAUCCAAAGAAUUCUUGCUUUUAUUUUCUAAUGUUGCCUGGCUCCAGCAUAUUACUGAUCUUACAAAGUCAAGUGCAGCAUUCUCCCCAAGCUUCUCUUACUAAUAAUUUUAGAAAUAAUGACAUCUAAUAGGGGGGGAAUAGUUUGAUCAUCAACAGUAAAUAAUGAUAAAGUUUGACAGUUUGAAAAUAUUGCAGAAUAACCAGAAGUAGGAAGAUACUAAAAUGUCUGAGCUUCAAAAACAGCAUGUGAGAUUUGUGGAUUUUUGCCAAGGGAAAUUCUCCAAUCUAUAGGCAAAGAGCCAAGCAGAAGACUGAGUUUUAUGUCAACAGAACAAGCAGAAAAUUAGACAAAAAUAAUAGUUUGAAAAGAAA
Molecule: long non-coding RNA, 717 nt
Organism: Ochotona curzoniae (black-lipped pika)
Lineage: Eukaryota; Metazoa; Chordata; Mammalia; Lagomorpha; Ochotonidae
Exons: 3
Source: RefSeq, a predicted model, not a curated record